GUUAAGAAUGUGUUUGUGUGAAAAUACCUCAGGAAAACAAAGGUUGCUUCACAAAAUUCAGAAUGUUAAUUUAUCCCAGUGGGCUACUGCUAUUGGAAAGUUAUCAGCCAUAUCAUCAGAACCAAAGGUUUUAAAAGAAGUAAUUUUAUAUCAAGAACUUAUGAGUGUUACCUUAUCCUUCCCUUUAAUCUUGUUUUCAUCUUAAAAGUAGAGUUUUCCAAAACCUACUGUCUUCUGGGCAUAAAUCAGAAUUUUCCUGAGCCUUCCUUCCUGAUGUGCACCUAGAAUUCAGAUCCUCAUGAAUCAGCAGCCACCUCAUAAUGUGAAUGCUCAAGAACAGAAUGAGGAACAAUGUUCUCCCAGGUCUGGUCUGAAUUUGGGAGGGCUGACUUGCCUAAUUUUAGAGGUGUUGUGCCCAAGAGGAAUGGAGGCCGGGUUUCCUUGCUUCUUUACCAAUCUACUUAUCGGUUUCCUGUUCAACUCCCUUCCUUUGCUUAAUUUGACUUUAGAUAAAUGUCACACUCCAGUAAAGAGACUUUAAGAAUUACUCAGUAAUCAAACCAUGUGAAUUCAAUGGUCUACACGCUUGGAAUCUUAAGAAAUUGCUGAUGAUGACAUUGGCUGCCUCAGUUUUAGGAACUGCCAGAAAUAGCCACUAACCAAGAGAAAGAGAGCAAGGACUAGCCCUGAAUAAUUGGUCAACGAUGCUGAUUUCGUUGGUUUCCUGUUCCUUUUGCUUCCUGGAAAAUACAGACCUACAAAGCAAACAUUGUGUGUGGGUUGAUGCUACAGCAUCGUCUGAACUUGGAAGGAUGAUCAUGGAUUCUGAUGCCUCGUGGUCUCACUACAGAAUUCAACGCUAUCUUUAUUUGAAGUCUGUCCUGGUUAGCAAGCUGGCUGGUGGUGAUGUAUCACAUACCGUGGUUUCUGUGAUGUGGGCUGCUGACUAUGGAAAGAUGAAUGAAGAUCACAAUCACAUUAAGUUUGAGGACUAUGGUCAGACUUAAACCAUUAUCCUUGAGGUGUAUGGCUGUUGAUUUAUCAAUGUUCUCAUUUUUAUGAAGGAAAUCUUCUCAAGGUUGCUGUAUGCUCUGUGUGUGUUGUAUGUCAAAUAAGGUAUAAUGUUAUGUUCUCUCAUAACUUCAUAAAUAAGAAUGUAUUGCUUUGAGAGAUGGAAUAAAA
This is a long non-coding RNA of Pan paniscus (pygmy chimpanzee), 1182 nucleotides long. The record is from Ensembl. Lineage: Eukaryota; Metazoa; Chordata; Mammalia; Primates; Hominidae.